Long non-coding RNA from Oreochromis aureus, 665 nucleotides. NCBI's taxonomy places the organism in Eukaryota, Metazoa, Chordata, Actinopteri, Cichliformes, Cichlidae. The record is from Ensembl.
GCGGGAGUGGGUGUUUCGGAAGUGACAUCUCUUGGGCAGUAACCUUGUUUCCUGUGUGGUGGAGUUGGGGGCGGAUUCAAGGCGCUAGCAGCGCAGCAACAGUGACGCCGUGUGGACGCUUUGGGUGAGCAAUGGGGAACCCGGGACGUGCCGCGCGAGGGCUGGGUGAAUGAUCUAAUAGCCCUGUGAAGGACUUGUGACCUGUGCAGGAUGUCAGCCUCUCACCCUAUCACAACUGGGAUGGGCUCCAGCACCUACAACUGUCAAUUGGAUGGAUACAAAAUGGAUGGAUGGACACAGAGAGAGUAAAUUACUGCAUUAUAACAAUGAAUCAGAGAAGCCUGAUGUUCUACUAGUUCUGAAGAUUCUCACCUGCAAUGCAUGAGCUUGUGUGUAAGCUUGAUAUUUGCUGGUUACAUACAGUGAAAUAGUUCAUUGAUAAUGUAUCAUCUAUUAAAACAAAGUUAAUGAUAUAAUAUAUUGAGCAUAAUAAUCUUUUUCUGUAGAAAACUUUUAUAUAUAGAUAUAGAGAUAGAUAGAUAUCUCUGAAUAAUUGUAUAUAAUGACGUAUUUUUAAAAAGCAAUGCUUUUAGAUAUAUGUAGUUAAAUAUAGAUUAAUGCAGCAGUCCCCAACUCUGUUUUAUUUGUACACACACACACACACA